GAGAUUUCCCAUUUCUUUAAGAAAGUAAGAUCCCUGAGAGAUGAUCAGGUAGAUAGGUCAGGAGUGGAAGUACAGUGAUGUAUGGAGCGGACUGAUACUAAUCGAUCGAGGACUUAACCAA
Molecule: ribosomal RNA, 121 nt
Filed under: Enterococcus faecium
Lineage: Bacteria; Bacillati; Bacillota; Bacilli; Lactobacillales; Enterococcaceae
Description: partial 23S ribosomal RNA
Rfam family: Bacterial large subunit ribosomal RNA
Source: RNAcentral